GACCGAAUGGCGUAGUGGUUAGUGACCCUGACUACGGAGCCGAAGGUCCCGGGUUCGAUUCCCGGCCGGGGCA
RNAcentral lists this transfer RNA (73 nucleotides) under Plutella xylostella (diamondback moth). Its description in RNAcentral is "tRNA-Arg". Lineage: Eukaryota; Metazoa; Arthropoda; Insecta; Lepidoptera; Plutellidae. The record is from RNAcentral.